This 77-nucleotide transfer RNA is filed under the name Cytophagales bacterium. Its description in RNAcentral is "tRNA-Ala". It matches the Rfam family "tRNA". From Rfam's summary of the family: Transfer RNA (tRNA) molecules are approximately 80 nucleotides in length. Their secondary structure includes four short double-helical elements and three loops (D, anti-codon, and T loops). Further hydrogen bonds mediate the characteristic L-shaped molecular structure. tRNAs have two regions of fundamental functional importance: the anti-codon, which is responsible for specific mRNA codon recognition, and the 3' end, to which the tRNAs corresponding amino acid is attached (by aminoacyl-tRNA synthetases). tRNAs cope with the degeneracy of the genetic code in two manners: having more than one tRNA (with a specific anti-codon) for a particular amino acid; and 'wobble' base-pairing, i.e. permitting non-standard base-pairing at the 3rd anti-codon position. RNAcentral also lists the same sequence under 1 other name. Lineage: Bacteria; Pseudomonadati; Bacteroidota; Cytophagia; Cytophagales. The record is from RNAcentral.
GGGGGAUUAGCUCAGCUGGCUAGAGCGCUUCCAUGGCAUGGAAGAGGUCAUCGGUUCGAAUCCGAUAUUCUCCACUA